UACGUAGGUGGCAAGCGUUGUCCGGAUUUACUGGGCGUAAAGGGCGCGUAGGCGGCGUGACAAGUCACUUGUGAAAUCUCCGGGCUUAACCCGGAACGGUCAAGUGAAACUGUCGUGCUAGAGUACAGAAGGGGCAACUGGAAUUCUCGGUGUAGCGGUGAAAUGCGUAGAUAUCGAGAGGAACACCUGCGGCGAAGGCGGGUUGCUGGGCUGAUACUGACGCUGAGGCGCGAAAGCCAGGGGAGCGAACGGG
This 253-nucleotide ribosomal RNA is filed under the name uncultured bacterium. RNAcentral describes it as "partial 16S ribosomal RNA". It matches the Rfam family "Bacterial small subunit ribosomal RNA", at positions 524 to 776 of the family's 1533-position model. The record is from RNAcentral.